ACAAAGGCUCUUUUAAGAGCCACACAUUUCACUCACUCAAAGAGUUU
Danio rerio (zebrafish) is the source of this 47-nucleotide non-coding RNA. The record is from Rfam. Lineage: Eukaryota; Metazoa; Chordata; Actinopteri; Cypriniformes; Danionidae.